Long non-coding RNA from Lagenorhynchus albirostris (white-beaked dolphin), 1823 nucleotides. RefSeq lists it as uncharacterized. The record is from RefSeq and is a predicted model, not a curated record. NCBI's taxonomy places the organism in Eukaryota, Metazoa, Chordata, Mammalia, Artiodactyla, Delphinidae. The transcript has 4 exons.
GCUGGGGGCGUGCGCUGGGGGCGCUGUACCUGCUCCCGCUCGGCCUGCCGCCUCUCCUCCUCCCGCCGCAGGGCCUGCAUGUCCUCGCGCCGCCGCUGCUGCUCCUUCUCCUGCAGCUUCCGCUGCUCCCGCUCCCGCCGCUGUUGCUGUGGGGGUAGAGCCGUGUGGCCUUAAGGGCUGCACCAGACACGGGGACAGCACAGCCCCAGAAGGCGGACCCACUCCGGCCCACUUCUGGAAAGCGGAUCCCUACUGGACAGUGCGGGCUGGUCUCCAUCUCACUGGGGAUGGAGGGAGCAGCUGCUGGAGAGACCGAUGCCCAGGGCACUGAAGUGUUAGUACACAGACCCCCAGAUCCCCGGGACUGAAGCACCCAGGGAUUCCAACUUAUGGGUCUACCUGUCUGUGCCCACCACCCCCAGACUGAGUCCCCAAGCCAAGGACCACUGUUGCCCCCGCAGACGGGGGGGAGAUCACUGCUGUUUCUUCACCCAGUGCCCCAGACCCCACCCUGGGCUAGGGAAACCUUAGAUGGGGAUAACCAAUAAGGUCUGUCUGGAUGGCCACGCUCCUGGGUCCCCACCCGCCUCCUUGGAGUAACGGGGUGAUGGUGGGUCGCAGGUUUGGGCCUGGACACAGAUGCGGGAUUAGACCCCACCGUGGGCGGGAUGCGGUGGGAGAUGUACACGCACUCACACAUGCACGUGCUCAGCAUGAGCCCUCAUGUGGAAGGCGGACUUAAAUCAGGUGGUGACAGAGGAAAAAGCCCUCUGGGGUUAGAAGUUUGGGAAAGGAGGUCUCUUUGGACAGGGAGAGCUGGGGCUGGAAGGGGGCCUGAAGGGGAGCCAGGAGGAGCCAGGGCUGGUGAAGAGGAGCAGGGGCUGUGUGUGUCCCAGACCCGCCACCUCCCUCUGCCCACUGACCUUUCUCGCCUCGUUUCUUCCGGGAUCGGUCGAUGUGGUCCUUGAGCUGGAUGCGGACCUGCCGCUCGGUGGGCUGGUCGCGGAUGAACGGGAACUUGAGCAGCUGCUCCGUCGGUGGGCGGCUCAGGUAAGUCUUGAUGAGACACGUGUCAAUGAAGUCGAUGAACUUCUUAGACCUGGAAACGAUGGUGGCUCACACUGGGAGGGCCCCCUCGGAAGGGGGGUGAUUCCAGGAGGAAGGGGGGAAUCCACCCUGACUUCCCUCCUGUCUCCCCCGUAUCCCAACACCAGGCUCCUGGCUCCCCAGCUGCAGUGCCGCCCCCGCCCACCCCCUCUUCUCUGGUGCAGACCCACGCCUGGGUGCAGGGGGUGAGGUGGAGGCCUUGUCCGAGGGCCUCCUUCCUAGACGCCAACCCCGCAGAGACCUACCAUUUCUUGGACUUGAGCCUGGGUGGCGGGUUCCGGGGGAUGAGGAAGAGGGCUCGCAUGGGGUGCAUGUCACACAGAGCUGGCGCACGGAAGAGACGCAAUCAGCCCCUCCCGCCCGGCCAAGAGCCUGCAGUCCUUCUCGCCACAGGCCUCCCACGACCCACCUCCUCCCUAUAGCUCUUUCUGGGCCCUCCCUUCUCUCCCAGGCUCCGCACUUACGGGGGGCUCCCUCUGCCAUCUCGAUGGCUGUGAUUCCUAAAGACCAAAUGUCACUCUGUGGAGGCAAAAGAAGAGGGACAGGUGAACGUUCCCGACCACUCUUCCUGGUCCACGCCCUUCGUGAGGCCCCUGUGCUCCAACCUGCGCUGUCCUCCAACUCCCCCAACCUUCCCAUCCGUACUUUCCUGACCACAAAACGUUCCUCGACCUCUCACUGCUAACACGACCCUAGGUCGUCAUUUUGCUCCCCAA